Molecule: ribosomal RNA, 505 nt
Filed under: uncultured bacterium
Lineage: Bacteria
Description: partial 16S ribosomal RNA
Rfam family: Bacterial small subunit ribosomal RNA
Source: RNAcentral
GACGAACGCUGGCGGCGUGCCUAAUACAUGCAAGUAGAACGCACAGUUUAUACCGUAGCUUGCUACACCAUAGACUGUGAGUUGCGAACGGGUGAGUAACGCGUAGGUAACCUGCCUGGUAGCGGGGGAUAACUAUUGGAAACGAUAGCUAAUACCGCAUAAUAUUAAUUAUUGCAUGAUAAUUAAUUGAAAGGUGCAAUUGCACCACUACCAGAUGGACCUGCGUUGUAUUAGCUAGUAGGUGAGGUAACGGCUCACCUAGGCGACGAUACAUAGCCGACCUGAGAGGGUGAUCGGCCACACUGGGACUGAGACACGGCCCAGACUCCUACGGGAGGCAGCAGUAGGGAAUCUUCGGCAAUGGACGAAAGUCUGACCGAGCAACGCCGCGUGAGUGAAGAAGGUCUUCGGAUCGUAAAGCUCUGUUGUAAGAGAAGAACGGGUGUGAGAGUGGAAAGUUCACACUGUGACGGUAUCUUACCAGAAAGGGACGGCUAACUACGUG